AGCAGGGAGGCGAGGCUGGGGUUAUUCUCUCCGUCCUCUCCGUGGUGCGCUGUAGCGCGCUGCCCGUUUGAUGCCAGGAGAGCGAGUGAAGAAAAACAACUUGAAAGGAAUAAAGACGGAGCCUGGGCGCUUCUUUAUUCCUCCCCUACCGCAUAGGACUUCCACUGUAAGAAUAACACGGGCACAAGCUUCAGUUCAACUCCCGAGACCGGAGGAGAAAAGUUGAUGGGCUGAGAUUUUUUUUUGAGGAAUCUUUACAAUUGCCAGAAUAAGCAACAGCACAUCACUACCCCGAUAACAGUUGCGUGCCGCUUUCUUUUUUGAGAUCCAGUGUUAUUCCAGUUUAGUGUGAUACUUUUGAGUGUGGAGUGUCAAUUUGCGUCAUUUGGACCUUCUGAUGUAGAAGCCUAUUUCAUGCAGUAAGCGUCUGAAAAAAAACUAAAACAUCUCAUUUGAGGUUGAGCGCGUCAGCCUGAGAGUUUAUACGUGAUGAUGUCUAGUGUAAUUCCUUUGUUGGCAUUAUCGUAACAGGUUCAAGUGCUGGAGCUGCAGCCGUUCAUUGCUCAUGUUUUGGAUGGUCAGCUUGAUUUCGCAACAAAACGCUGCAGGGAAUAUUUGGGAAACACUUUAUCUGUAUAUAUAACACGUUUAUGAGCUACACCAGACACUUCAAUGAAAGUAAAAGGAAAACGCAUAGAAAAGGCUCGGACCACGACGCAUUUCCCAAAUGCACUGCAGCUCCACACCCCUGCUGCUAGGGAGAAAUGAGCUAGCCCAAGUCACUGUAGAUUUCAGGAGUUUGCAGGCGAUGUCCAAUCAAAAUGUACUCUAGCGAAGCUAACCUUCCAUUGGCUGCAAAGAUGAUCAAUUAUCAAGUGAUCGAUCAACUUGAGUUCUGAUCUGUGGGGAGGAGUACAGUUUGUAAAAAAAAAACACACCCCAGCAAAGACAAAAGUAAGUGUCUCUUCAUAGCUAGAAUUAUAUUAAAAUAGCUAUAUAUAAUGUAUCCGUGGAUGCAUGACUAGAUUAAUAAUGUACCAAGAUAGGUAUACAUUAAAGUAUGAGUAUUUCCAGUCCUAGUUUUUUUCGCAAAGCUACUCAGUAAUUUCAUGUGUGAGAGAAAGUCUAAACCGUACAGGUCCUGUGUGGAAUAGCCAUUAAGCAUUACGCUUUCUUGUAAAAGUAUAGCUGCAAUUUAGUUUAGCGUUCGGUCAGAGCGGAUUAUGGUAUUUGUCAGUAAGUCACUGUCUAAGACCGCACACUGCCUGAUUUUUAUAUGCACGACUGCUUUCUGGAAGGUACACACAUCUAUUGUAUAAAAAAAACGAGAUAGGAGUACAAUGAAUUCUAAAAUGUACACAAACUGUACAGCAGGUCACAGAUAUAGGAAAAUAUGUUUUGAGUACUUGAGUUUCCAAAUUCCACACGGUGCCGGUUGUGCAACUCAUAUCGAAGACUUCCACUUGGUUACGGGGUUUCCAAAACAUUACAGAAGAACAUUGCAGAUUCGUGCAAUAAAGCAACGUCUUUUGACCACAUUAUUAAGGUGUAAUUACAGCAUUUAAAAGAAUUUGACUCCUUACAAGCUUUAGAUUACCUACCGUGUUAUUUAUAUAUAUUCAAAUGAACCUGUGACAAGGUGUAUGAAGUUUGUCUAAAGAGCGUCUGUCAUCGAUCUGAACAGUUUGGUGCUGGUAAGAGUGUCAUAUCACAUAAUGCAGGCUUCACACAUUCUGCGAUCUCCGCGGUGGAGCUACACUGGGGUCUUUCGUCUAAAUUUACAGGCAUGAAAUUACUAUUAAACCCCCAGACCGGCAGGAAAACCUGCAGAUAUGAGACGUUAAGUAGCUCCGUUUCGGAUACAAAAACACCAGUUAUUAGAUAUAACUUAAUCUAAGACCAAAAUAGCUAGAAAUCAUGCUUUGUGUUUUUUGGAGGCUUAAUGAUCUUCAUAAAGCCUUGGUACAGUAUAGCACAAGCUGACUUCUUGAACUGAAAAUCCUGCAGGAACAUUGAUAUAGCCCAGAGGUGAAAAGUGAAGGCAACUACUCAGAUGCACUGGUACGAGAGUGAGAGGCAGUGUCACGUGUGGACCAAUCAUAAAGUGAAGGAACAAGUCUCGCACCUCCCUGGGAGACUGUUAAUUGAUCAGCACCUGAGAGGAAAAGUGAAGGAGAGGAAAGCCAGCUGCAGUGUGGGUGCGAAGAAGUGUAUCUCCUGCAAGGACAUGGGGAGGGACCAGCCAUCUUCAAAGCACCCUCACCAGCGGCUAAUGAGCUGCUGUGUCCCCUAUCUAUGUCGGCAAGUCUGCAAAUACAAAAGAGGCCUACAUUAUACAUGUCCUCUCCAACCCCUGUCUCUUAUUCCCCAUGCUUUCCUCCAGCAGAAAUGGAAUAUAGCAAUGCAUUCUGGAAUAAAUAAUCAUGGCCUAUAUUCACAAAGGAUUUGACAUUAAUGCCCUGCUCAGAGCCCUAUUUAUAAAGAGAAUAAAAUACAAACAAAAUUUCAAAUGCAAAAAGUGCUUUUUGUAGCUGCCCCGAGUGUAACUCAAUCUUCACUAAUUUCUAAGGCCUAGUUAUGAGGAUGUUGAGCCUUCAGAAAAAAAAGUGCUAACACUGAAUAUCGGCUUAUUUCCAGAAAUAUGCAAUGGCUGGAAAAACUGCCCUCCUAAAAAAUAACCUGAUCAGAUUUUUCUGGCGUAGGUGAUCGGUGGAUGCUUGUUUUUAAAAACAGUGCUUGAUAUCAAGGGUAAACUCCUGCAGGAAAGACAUUUGUGAGUGAUGUCCAUUUUAUUAAGUACAAUUCUAUAAAUAAUAAGAGUUUCAAUAAAUGAAAAUUGUUCACUAAGGACAAGAUGUAAACCUGUUAACAUUGAAUUCAUACUUUGUACGCACUGAGACAGUUAUAACUGUGGACUAUUCAGGCCCUCUAAUUUCUAAUGCCUAUUGCUCUUCUUAGCCAAGUGUUUCUCACUGUUGGGUUUUUAAAUAGAUCGGUCAGAGGUUUCUGGGAACAGCCACUGAAUGUUUUAAAAAAUGCAGAAUGUUGAAAAUGAAAAUAUCUUCUGCAUAGGAUACUUCUUACAUCAGACUCCAGUGCAGAGACGUGUGCUGUUCUAUUAUGCAGCUCUCAUACCAGGUAACCAGAAACAUUUAUUUUCAGCAUAUGAAAAAAACCAAUGUUAGGCCCAAAGAAUCACCCAUUUUUCUAUAAAUCCUUUUAGUCUUUGAACAAGAAUUUAAUAAGUGGUUUUUAGGAUUCCUUCAAAAAUAAAUUGCCUUCCAGCAUGAAUGUUCUAUGAAUUUAAUGACACCUAAUAGACACUAUAUGCCUCAGGAGAUCUGCUGUGAUAGGUGUCCUUGUGUGAAGAACAAGUAGAGACGUUUUAAGAAAAACGUAACAUAAUAAUUGAGGAACAGCUUAAUAUCAUAGCUGGUGAAAAAUUAGAUUUUAAUAACGGCAUACUGUUCUUUAAACGAAUCACAGUGGAUAAACCAGGGGAUACUACAGGGAAUUAAAUCUGAGCUACUUAGGCGAUUUGAUGCAUAAGACUGGUACUGUAACUGAGUCCUACGCUAGUUUUGCAAAUGCUAACUAAAAGCAGGAGUCAUGGGCACUAAGAAAAUCUAUAUACAGUACUAAUUUUUAUGUUUACCUUUGUCCAAUCACCCUCUCCCACAGGAAGGUGAUUACUGGGACGAGACAAAUGGCUUCUUUGUUUGUGACAAAAAGUGUGAGACACCCUUUGCGGCUGACAUGGCGCUUGGUGCCCCAUGGUGCUUUACAGUACCUGUCCCGAGUGGGCACCACCCAUUCUUCUUUAAAGCGUGCUUUAAACACAUGAAUGCGAUGAUCAAACAGCUCCAUCGUGCUUGUUGUGGAAGUGAACUGUUUCAAGCACUGAGCAGGCCCCUGCAUGCCGGCGCAGGAACAAUGCAGGUCUCCUUGGGGAACGCCAGCGAACUCCUAUGGUAGUGAGGAGGCUGCAGAACAGGGAGGAGGGGUAGGCGCUUUCUGCAGGCAGACACUACUUUUCAAAAUGACAGCAGUUUAUUUAAUCACAUACCUGAAUGCUGGAUCUGAGAACUGAUAUUAUGAAGUGCACUGUGAAUAUGAUCAUUUUCAAAUGGAACAUACAGAUGCACUGACUGUUCUCAUGUAUGAUUAAAUACAUUAUUGACAUUAUGAAUGGAAGGAUCAAUUACUAAAGCAAUUUCCAUUUUCCAAACAGAGUUAGAAGUAGAAGAGUUUCCCAUGGGAACCUACAUUGUGAGAACAACAUACUCAUGGAAGCUAAAAAUGAUCAGGGACUGCACACUAUAUGGAGCCUGAAUGUUAGAGAUACUCUAGCUUGUCACUGAAAAUCCCAGAAGUGACCUAGGGAUAAAGGUUGUGUUAUUGGGUAUAUAGUUAAAGAGAUUUUUGUUUGUUUUGGGCGGUGGGGUCCAUCUAGGUUAAAAAAGGCUACUUUAGAAAACCUAAUAACAUUUCCUGUAAAAACAAAAUGUGGAAAACUAUUAUACUCACAGUUUGAAAGAAGCUUAAUUAAAAAAGGUGGAUGUACAGUAUGUGGUAAGACGCAAGGUCAUUUGCCUAAAAAUAGUUUUUUUCAGUUUUGCAAUUAUAUACAGUAUGUAUUGUCACAAAGCACAAGAGCAUUUUCUUUACAAAACAAAAUACCGUUCUGCACUGGCAGAUGUCUUGUGUUGGUUCAAGUUGUGAGUCUGAAAAUCAUCUUAAAGCCUAACACCUGGUCUACAGAAUUACUGUAUGUUUCUGUCCUUGUGCUUUUCUAAUUGAAUUGUAAACCUGCGUACAGAAAGCAUUCAUUUUCAGCAAUUUCCUAACAGUGAUUUAUUUAAUGAAAGGCUCAAAGCAUUAGCUAAAAGCAAUCUUGUAAAUGACUUGCAUCACUUCGAGUGCUUCAUCACUUCAUUAAUUUAAAAUAUUAUCCAUAGGCACAAGUGCCAUAAUUUUGAACAAUGCUACAUUGUUAACUUAUUAAUGCAGGAAAUCAGACAAGUCAUUUUGAACUGAUUUAUUUCUUAUUAUUACAUCAUUUUAGGAUAUCUUUCCUUCGACUGUCAUGGAUUAUGUAAUUCAAUGUGUUUCUAAAGCUUAAAAAGGUAGCACUUGGCACUUCUCUUGUCAGCAAAAAAAACAUCACAAAGAUGGAGGAAAUUAGUACUUCAUUGCAACUCUUUCUUACAAGACUAUACAAUAACAUUUAUUUAUAUCGUUUUAAAGAACAAUCACUGCUUCAAAAUGGAGAAUACCAACAAGCUUUCUGCUUUAGAUUACUGAAAAUAAAGACACAAAUACCAAUUUUCUUGCUUUCCAAAUGUUUGCUUUCUGCAGAAGAUACAGACAUUGUAUGCCUAGUAUACAAACAGCUGGCAAAACUCUGUGUUCUAGACUUUUUGUGCAACUUUCAGUAACCAAACCUUUAGAUAAAUUACUUCAUAAUAGCCCCUGACAUGACAAAGUCUCGCCAACUUUUUUCACUGUUAAUCAUCAUAACACAACAAAACGUGUAAAAAAAAUGCAACCAACACCCCAUGGCAAGACAAUUAAAUAUGCACAAAACCAACUAAGUGUGAUGUUGUCUGAUUAAUUUGUGUGGAAAAAACAUGUAAGGAAAAACAAAAUAGAACAAUAUUUUGUCAACCAACACAAAGCACAGGGAAAUACAAAAAAAAAAAA
Lepisosteus oculatus (spotted gar) is the source of this 5703-nucleotide non-coding RNA. Lineage: Eukaryota; Metazoa; Chordata; Actinopteri; Semionotiformes; Lepisosteidae. The record is from RefSeq and is a predicted model, not a curated record.